This 455-nucleotide ribosomal RNA is filed under the name Capnocytophaga granulosa. Its description in RNAcentral is "bacterial SSU rRNA". It matches the Rfam family "Bacterial small subunit ribosomal RNA", at positions 28 to 486 of the family's 1533-position model. The record is from RNAcentral. Lineage: Bacteria; Pseudomonadati; Bacteroidota; Flavobacteriia; Flavobacteriales; Flavobacteriaceae.
GAUGAACGCUAGCGGCAGGCCUAACACAUGCAAGUCGAGGGAGAAGCCCUUCGGGGCAGAAACCGGCGCACGGGUGCGUAACGCGUAUGCAACCUACCUUUCACAGGGGGAUAGCCCGAAGAAAUUUGGAUUAAUACCCCAUAAUAUUAUUGGAUGGCAUCAUUUGAUAAUUAAAAUUACGAUGGUGAAAGAUGGGCAUGCGUCCUAUUAGCUAGUUGGAGUGGUAACGGCACCCCAAGGCUACGAUAGGUAGGGGUCCUGAGAGGGAGAUCCCCCACACUGGUACUGAGACAGGGACCAGACUCCUACGGGAGGCAGCAGUGAGGAAUAUUGGUCAAUGGUCGGAAGACUGAACCAGCCAUGCCGCGUGCAGGAAGAAUGCCUUAUGGGUUGUAAACUGCUUUUAUAUGGGAAGAAUAAGGAGUACGUGUACUUUGAUGACGGUACCAUAUGAA